AUUGAACGCUGGCGGAAUGCUUUACACAUGCAAGUCGAGCGGUAGAUCCUUUCGGGGGUUGAGAGCGGCGAACGGGUGAGUAAUGCGUCGGAACGUACCGAGUAAUGGGGGACAACGCAGCGAAAGCUGUGCUAAUACCGCAUACGCCCUACGGGGGAAAGCAGGGGAUCGCAAGACCUUGCGUUAUUCGAGCGGCCGACGUCUGAUUAGCUAGUUGGUGAGGUAAAGGCUCACCAAGGCGACGAUCAGUAGCGGGUCUGAGAGGAUGAUCCGCCACACUGGAACUGAGACACGGUCCAGACUCCUACGGGAGGCUG
This 317-nucleotide ribosomal RNA is filed under the name uncultured Pseudomonadota bacterium. RNAcentral describes it as "bacterial SSU rRNA". It matches the Rfam family "Bacterial small subunit ribosomal RNA", at positions 30 to 351 of the family's 1533-position model. The record is from RNAcentral. Lineage: Bacteria; Pseudomonadati; Pseudomonadota.